CUUGGGUCCACCGUUAGGGCGUCACCAAGGUCUGCUCUGGUGUGAACCUGGGUGCCAGGACCUGCCUGCCAUCCGAGGGAGUCCAGGGAAUGGGCGGCCCUGGAGGUGCGCUCCCACCCUCCUCGCCAGGGCCUACCCCUGCUGGGUAGCAGGGAGCCCUGGGGCAGCGGUCCCUUUCAAGUUCUAAGUAGCCUCCCUUGGAAAGCCACGCGUGCAGCGCACGUCUGCUGGUCUGCCUUCACCGUGUCCGCCCACUCCGCUGCUCUGGGCCCCAACCAGUCUCUGUUCAAGGACUUGCAGCGGACACACUGUUCCCUUCCCCUGGGUGGGACGGCACUUGAGCUGUGCCACCAGCCAUAACCCUGCUCACACCCAGCCGCUCCCCCAGGUUAAUCUGGCCCCUGCCAACUCCCGAAUUGGCUCGAUUUCUUUCAUUCUGGUGCCGAAACCCAGGAAGGUACAGCUGAGAUUAGUGACCAUCCGCCGCUGGUGGGGGUUGGUUGGUCCCUUGGCCAUCCUUCCUGAACCCUGUUGGAUGAGCACCCGACCAGGCGCCUUCACCUUUGCCACUGCUGACACCUCGCAUCCACACCAGUCCCCGAUUCCUGGAUGCAGGGGCGACCCUCCACCUCUGUGUUUCCUCUUACCCUCUGGUGCCAUGUUACAUGAAAGGCUGCAAAGACAGGUGAGCCUUUUAAGGUGCCUACACCCACUGCUCUGCCUGCUCUCCCUGCCUCAGCUUCCCCUGAGCAGAAAGGGAAGCAAGACUCUGCAAAAGAAAGUAAAAUUCUCUCCUGGUCCUGCCUAUUUACAUAUCAACAACUUGUUGCAGGC
Molecule: long non-coding RNA, 834 nt
Filed under: Heterocephalus glaber (naked mole-rat)
Lineage: Eukaryota; Metazoa; Chordata; Mammalia; Rodentia; Bathyergidae
Description: lncRNA (ENSHGLG00100047978.1)
Source: RNAcentral